CAACAUUUCGAAGACCAAUUUGGAAGUGUAGUUGAAGGACAGGGAACAGAGCGAGAGGCAGUAGCACACGCCGAGGUGCGGUACUAAGUCGUCUUCCUCUUCGAUCCUGGUACCUUCCCGGCUUAGCGGAGGAGUGGUGGUGGGUGCCCUUCACGUCUUCUCUCCCUCCAACCCACCACAGCCUCACUCACUCGUAGAAGGCCUCGACCAUUGGGCCACGUACAUACACUGACAUCGAGGGAGGCCCAUGCAGGCCGUGGUGCCUUCGCGGAGAAUGCACUGAAGAGUACCACUACUACUACUACUAUUAGUACUACCUUGGCCCGGACGGAUAUUUUCGGCACGGAAAAUGAUGGUCGCUGGUGGUUUGGCGGGUGGCGAAGUGGCAAAAGAGAAGGCAGGAGGCUCCUUGGAAGUGAGGAGGAGUGUGUGACUAGUAAUCUACUGGUUUGGUCCUGUAAACUCAGCCAGCAGGGAAUAGGAAUUCUAGUUGAAGAAGAAGCACAAGGAGCAGAAGAAGAAUAAAAAAAAGGAAAGAACAGUGGAAGAAGACGAGGAAGAGGUUGAUUACUUCUCUCUCUGUCUCUUGUGGGGGAAAAUCAGGAUUGAUUUUCAGCUUUGGCUUUGUUAGAGGUGCUACAUUGAGGACUCAUGUGCAACAGUUUUUGACGUAUCCACAUCCUUCUGUGAGUCCGAAUCAAUUCUACCUCACCUCUGUAGCUAGCUGGUGAUUCUAAAACCCCUUGAGAACGAGGUGCACACUUGGUCAAAGGCCAAACACCUUCAUUGCCAUCGGCAUCAUCAUCAACAACAGUAUCAGUUCUACUAAUACUUCCACCACCAACAGCACCUUUACCAUCAUCAUCAAGAAUCCAUUAGGUGCAACUUCAAAGAGACUUGUGUUUUGGGCUCAACGUGGUGGAAUUGUAACAUCGUCUUGAGAGCAGGUUUCAGAGGCGUCGCUGUCCAUUUUUCCGAUAUUUAUUGCAACAUUUCGGUUCAUGGGCGUGUGAAUAACGUCACAAGUUGCUUCCGUUUGGCCUUUGUAGUCCGCGGCCGUUUUUGAGUGACUGGAACACGGGAGGACAUCCCCUCCAAAAAAGCCGCAUCAUGCCGUUAUUCGGGAAAAAGAGUGAUAAGUCGAAAUCCUCGCCAAAAGAGGACAAAGAGGAUAAGAAGAGCUCCAAAGUGCCCACUGUGGAAGACAAAUACAUCCUGAAAGAUGUCUUGGGAACGGGUGCGUUUUCUCAAGUCCGCUUGGCCGAGAGCAAAGACAAUCCGGGCAGACUUCAUGCCAUCAAAGUGAUAGAUAAGAAGGCGCUCAAGGGCAAAGAGGAUUCCCUGGAGAACGAGAUCAGAGUUCUUAGAAGAUUACAUCAUCCUAAUAUAGUUGAACUUCUUGAGGUUCACGAAGAGAAAAACAAAGUUUAUUUAGUAAUGGAACUAGUGACGGGUGGAGAGCUAUUCGACCGGAUCGUCGAGAAAGGCUCCUACACAGAGAAGGACGCUGCCGACCUCAUCAAGCAAGUCUUGGAUGCCGUGGCCUACAUGCACAGAGAGGGUGUGGUCCAUCGGGAUCUCAAGCCCGAGAACUUGCUCUAUCAAUGUCAGGAUGAGGACAGCAAGAUCAUGAUCAGCGACUUCGGACUCUCCAAAAUGGAGGACUCGGGCAUCAUGGCCACCGCGUGUGGAACUCCAGGUUACGUAGCGCCUGAGGUCCUGGCUCAAAAACCAUACGGCAAAUCUGUGGACGUGUGGAGCAUUGGUGUGAUCUCCUAUAUUCUCCUUUGUGGUUAUCCCCCAUUCUACGAUGAAAACGACGCAAACUUAUUUGCACAGAUCCUGAAAGGUGAAUUUGAAUUUGACUCCCCUUAUUGGGACGAUAUCAGUGAGGAGGCCAAAGAGUUCAUUCGUCAACUCAUGUGCGUGGAUGUAGAGAAGCGGCUCAGUUGUGAAGAAGCCUUGAAACACGCAUGGAUCACUGGUGCUAAGGGAGACAGGAACAUUCAUGCUUCAGUAUCUGAGCAACUGAAGAAAAACUUUGCCAAGUCCAGAUGGAAGCAACUAAUGAAUGCCAUAGUCAUGGUGCAUAAGAUGCAACGAAUGGCUCUUAACACCAGCAAUAGCCAACAAAGCUCGCCCACUUCAAAAGCUCCACCCACGGACACUUCAGACCUCAAUGGACCCACUCCAGUGUUGCCGAGGUCCCAGUUGGCCGCAGGUGGACCAGUUGUUGCCAACAGAACGCCCUCUGGUGGCAGAGCUAAACAUCAAGUUGACGAGAAUGCUGCUGUGAGGUUGGAGAAGGCUGGGGAACAAGAAGCAAGCGUACAAUGCCAUCGCGGUGAGUCGUCAAUUGAAAAACAUGGUGAUCAUGAGCAGCACCGCCAACAUGGCCGCAUCAGCCAACAACAGCGCAGCCUCGCAGGAGGAAAGCAGCAACAAAACCAGUUCCAAUAGCGUGACCGAAUCCAAGUCUUCCACAGAGAAAUCCACAACCAAUCGGACAACCCCAACGAGUGCUGGCGUUGCCUCUGAAGUAAGAAAAAGGUAAACGGUCAACGAUGAUAUUGCUAUCCGAUCCAUCCAGAGAUUCACUUUCUUUGCGAGCGGCUGUUCAAUGAAGACAAAUGUGGGUCCCCGUAAAGUCGAUUUGACGAAAAUGAGAUCAAUCCCAUAUUUGGGCAUAUGUCCCUCCACGACGAGGCCUGCCUUGUUGAAAUUUACCCUAACUAACCCAUCUUGAACCCUGCCAUCUGUUUGGUUCCUCUUGCCCUUCCCUUCUUCAGAUGGCAGCAAGUGUGGGGCAAUGUGACUUUUUUGAAAACAAUGGAAAGUGGUCACCCUUGCCCCAGAUUUAGAUCUGGGCUGUGUUCUUUUCCCCGGCACGAAUCGUCCUCAAGGCAAACAAACCCAUUCCCAUUAUCAUUCAUUCUGGAUGAAUAAGAUGACGAAUCAAACCUAUGUAUGCAUCAAUCAAUUGGCCUGCCUAUCAAUGAGUUAUUUUUCCCCCAAGACUUCCUUUCACACAGUAAAUAGGAACCUUUCCUCCAUGGAAAUUUGAGCAACUUUGUUCCAUUUAUUUAUGUAUUCUUUUUAUGUGGAAGGCACCGAUUAUUGGUAAACUACAUUUUUAAGAUCGAACAACGUUCAGAUGGCUGCUACAUCCCAAGAUUGUUCCCAAGUGUCCUAUUGUGGGGUCAUAUCUGAACAAAACUCCCAUACAAAACCACGAUUUCCUCUUUCUCUCUGGUAGUUAAUGACUAUUUUUCUUAGUAUCCCCGUACAUUUUCUUCCUUAUCCAGUCUCAGUGUAUAUUUUAUCACCUAUUCUGCUCGCCUCCAACUCUGCAACUUCACUUUGGCUAAAUCCCAUCUGAUAAAGAAACGCCCAUUCCCAUGGAACGAUACGCAAUCGUUCCAUAUGGAGGAAUGAUUAAAUGUUCUGGCCUUCUUCGAGAAAAAGGGACAGGUUGCCUUCCAUGUUCAUAUCUGAUUUUAUCUUUGCUAUUGUUACAACUACCAUUAGUACGAUAAACCAACAUCCUUACAUCAAGAUUAUAUUACAAAUACUACUACUACUGCUACUACUGCAACUCCUGCUACUACUACUACUAUUAAUAUUACUACACUAUACUAUACUACUGCUAUUGCUACUACAACUCCUUCUCCUACUACUACUAUCACUAUUAAUACUAAUUUUACCAUUAAUCCCAUUACUAAUCGAUUAUUAUGAACACCCUUUACCACAGAAUACAACAGUUGUUCACCA
Tigriopus californicus is the source of this 3771-nucleotide RNA transcript. It is a transcript of the gene named calcium/calmodulin-dependent protein kinase type 1-like, with no coding region annotated. The record is from RefSeq and is a predicted model, not a curated record. Lineage: Eukaryota; Metazoa; Arthropoda; Copepoda; Harpacticoida; Harpacticidae. The transcript is spliced from 10 exons.